AUAACCUACAACAAACAACCACUGUCAUAUGAUCCGACUACAGCCUCACCAUCUUUCAAACACUGCAGAGCAACAUCUCCUGUCCAUUAGGCUACUCCCUGGACUACAGCCCAUCUGUUUGGAGUACCAGAGGACUCACCAUGUGGCUAAAAGGUUUUAUAAGUAACCAUGUCAACAUGAAACUUCUGAAGACCUGUGUCAUCGUUCUCCUUCUGACUGUGUUGUUCUUUACACGAAGAAACAUGGACCUGCUGCAGUACCAGAGGAGGACUCACCAUGUGCCUAAAAGGAUUUGAGUAACCAUGUCAACAUGACACUUCUGAAGACCUGUGUCAUCCUUCUCCUUCUGACUGUGUUGUUCUUUGUACUAAGAAACAUGGACCUGCUGCAGGUGAGAACUGGGAUUAGUGGCAACACUUUGAAGAUGGACUGAUGAUUACAGGGGAUUAUUUUCAACAGUGUCUUUCAAUGUACUCUUCACAACAUUCAUGGUUUUUAUUUGCAAAUAAACACAAUUUCAAGGUUAUGUUGCUUAAAACAUUUUGCUCAGUGAUUCUCUGAAUCACUGGAGGGUGGGGUAAUGGGGUGAAAAGCUGUGAAUGCAUUAAUGACAUACACACAUACUUGAUGCCAUCCCUGCAUAAUUUGCACCUUGGGCCACCUGUCACAAAAAGUCUGAACACGACCUUGCUUACAAAAGACAUCAACUUCAAGAAACGGAAAAAGAAUCACAGAUUUUUACUUUAUUGAGCAGUUAAAAGGUCAAAAGUAAGGUCAGUUAUAAAAGGUCUAUAAUGCUCUGUAGAACAAAAAAGCAAACAUUAGUCACCCCUGUCCACUUUUUGGACCCAUUUAAACCCACUAUAAUAAUUAUUUUUGAACUUAUGGCCAUAGUAGCAUAGAAACGUAAGUUUUGUUGUUAUAGGCAAUCAAUCUGUAGACCAUACUUCAAAUUUGUAGAUUUUACCAUUUUUUUUAUCACAUUUUUCAAUUUUAGCCCAACAGCACAAAUACAUGCAUUUUUUCUAGUAACCACAAGGAACAGUGUUGAAGCUCAUACGGCCCAUUAUUUCUUGUUCAAAGUUAUCCUAUAUUAUUUGUUUGGGAAUUAGAUGGGGGGGAAAGACUUUAUAGGAUCAUAAUAAUGACUAACAUAUUGGUGAUCAUAUCGAAACAACAAUGGUCUUUUUACAUACCUUGAAGUCACUUUGAUUAGAAAUUGAUAAAAAGCAUGUAAUCAUUUUUAGCUGUUUAAUUUCUGUGUCCAAUUUUUGGACAUUGGGUGCUAUGUGUAACAUUUAUUUUAGGGGCGCCUGAGUUAAAGAAUUAUCUGAGCACAGUUCUUGUUGUUGUUUUUUUAAACAACAACAAAAUAUGAUCAUAUCAAUAGCUUUA
Labrus bergylta (ballan wrasse) is the source of this 1395-nucleotide non-coding RNA. NCBI's taxonomy places the organism in Eukaryota, Metazoa, Chordata, Actinopteri, Labriformes, Labridae. The record is from RefSeq and is a predicted model, not a curated record.